Molecule: transfer RNA, 22 nt
Filed under: Festuca ovina
Lineage: Eukaryota; Viridiplantae; Streptophyta; Magnoliopsida; Poales; Poaceae
Also listed under: 7 other names
Source: RNAcentral
CAAGAAAAGGUCAGGAUAGCUC